CGACCCCAGGUUAGACGGGGCUACCCACUGAGUUUAAGCAUAUUAAUAAGUGGAGGAAAAGAAACUUACAAGGAUUUCCUUAGUAACGAUGAGCGAACUGGGAAGAGCCUAGCUUGAGAAUCGGACAACAAUGUUGUUCGAAUUGUAGUCUAAAGAAGCAUCCUCACCGAUGGACCGGGCCCAAGUCCCUUGGAAGGGGGUGCCAGAGUCGGUGAGAGCCCCAUCGUGCUCGGACCCUGUUGCAUUACGAAGCUCUGUUGGCGAGUCGGGUUGUCUAGGAAUGGAACCCUAAUUUGGCGGUAAAUUUCGUCCAAAGCUAAAUAUUUGCAAGAGACCGAUAGCAAACAAGUACCGCAAGGGAAAGAUGAAAAUGACUUUGAAAAGAGAGUAAAAGAGUGCUGGAAAUUAUCAGGAGGGAACCAGAUGACGGCUGGUGAUGCAUCCCUGUUGGAUGUGGAAUGGUGAUAAGACGGUCCAUCGAUCAACUCGGGAUGUGGAUCGAUGCGGAUUGUGGUAGCGUCUUAAGCCCAGGCUGUUGAUAUGCUUAUAGGGAUGUUGUUGCUAUGAUCAUGGUGGGUAGUGUGCGCUGUUAUGGCAUGCUUAUGCACUUGUGUGCUCAGGCAUUGGCCUGCAGGCUCCUCAUUUGACCCGUCUUGAAACACGGACCAAGGAGUCUAACAUGUGUGUGAGUCAAUGAGUGAGUAAACUCGUAAGGCGUAAGGAAGCUAAUUAGCAAGAUACCCUUGUGGGUUGCACCGCUGACCGACCUUAAUCUUAUGAGAAGGGUUCGAGUGUGAGCAUGCCUGUCGGGACCUGAAAGAUGGUGAACUAUGCCUGAGCAGGGCGAAGCCAGAGGUAACUCUGGUGGAGGCCCACAGUGAUACUAACAUGCAACUCGUUCAUCUGACUUGGGUAUAAGGGAGAAAGACUAAUCGAACCAUCGAGUAGUUGGUUCCUUCCAAAGUUUCCCUUAGGAUAGUAGGAGCUUUGUCAAGUUCUAUCAGGUAAAGCCAAUGAUUAGAGGCAUCGGGGGCACAACACCCUCAACCUAUUCUCAAACUUUAAAUAGGUAGGAUAACAUGGUUGCUUUGUUGAGCCAUGGUACGCAAUCGGUAGCUCUAAGUGGGCCAUUUUUGGUAAGCAGAACUGGUGAUGCGGGAUGAACCAGAAGUCGGGUUACGGUGCCUAACUGUGCGCUAACCUAGAACCCACAAAGGGUGUUGGUCGAUUAAGACAGUAGGACGGUGGUCAUGGAAGUCAAAAUCCAUUAAGGAGUGUGUAACAACUCACCGGCUAAAUCAACUAGCCCCGAAAAUGGAUGGCUCUAAAGUGCACGACCUAUACUUGGUCUUCGAGGCAAUUGCCAGGUCUCGAUGAGUAGGAGGGCACGGCGGUUGUUGCAAAACCUUGGACAUGAGCUUAGGUGGAGCUGCCAUCGGUGCGGAUCUUGGUGGUGGUAGCAAAUAAUCAAAUAAGAACUUUGAAGGCCAAAGAGAGAAAAGGUUCCAUGUGAACGACAUUUUCACAUGGGUUAGUAGAUCCUGAAAAGCAAAGGAAACCCAUUUGAUAACACCGAGUGCACAGACUUCGAAAAGGAAUCGGGUCAAAAUUCCUGAACCAGAAUAUGGCAGUUGACGGUAAUAUUAUAAAGUCCGAAGACAUCACCGUGGAACUCAGGAAGAGUUAUCAUUUCUAUUUAACAGCUUGCCCACCCUAAAAAUGGCUCAGCCGAAGGUACGGUCCAGCGGCUGGAACAACACCACACAUUGCGCGGUGUCUGAUGCACCUUUCGUGACCCUUGAAAAUCUGAAGGACCGAGUGCUGUCCACACCCGGUCGUACUCAUAACCGCAUCAGGUCUCUAAGGUGAACAACCACUGGUCAAUGGAACAAUGUAGGCAAGGAAAGAUGGCAAAAUUAAUUUGUAACCUUGAGAAAAGGAUUGGCUCAAAGGGCUAGGCACGAGGGUCUCAGUCUCAAAACCGUGUAGCUGUCGAUGGACUACUCGAGCUGCUUUCGUAGUGAAAGCGGGUCGUUGCGUGUUGCUCGAGGGACGAAUUGCGAUGGUCCCUGCGGAUGCUCACGUAAUCUGAUUUCUGCCCGGUGCUCUGAAUGUCAAAGUAAAGAAAAUCAACCAAGUGCGGGUAAACGACGGGAGUAACUAUGACUCUUUUAAGGUAGCCAAAUGCCUCGUCAUCUAAUUAGUGAUGCGCAUGAAUGGACUAAUGAGAUUCCCACUGUCUCUGUCUACUAUCUAGCGAAACCACAGCCAAAGGAAUAGGUUUGGUAGAAUUAGCGGGGAAAGAAGACCCUGUUAAGCUUGACUCUAGUUCGACUUUGUGAAAUGAGUUGAGAGGUGUAGGAUAAGUGGGAGUCGGAAAUGGCGCAAGUGAAAUACCACUACUUUUAACAUUAUUUUACUUAUUCCGUGAAUCGGAGGCAGGGUUAUCCCCCCUUUUUUUGGACCCAAGGCUUGCUUCGAUGGGCCAAUCUGAGCGGAAGACAUUGUCAGGUGGGGAGUUUGGCUGGGGCGGCACAUCUGUUAAAAGAUAACGUGGGUGUCCUAAGAUGAGCUUAACGAGAAUAGAAAUCUCGUGUGCAACAAAAAGGUAAAAGCUCGUUUGAUUCUGAUUUUCAGUAUGAAUACGAAUCAUGAAAGCAUGGCCUAUCGAUCCUUUAGACCUUCGAAAUUUGAAGAUAGAGGGGUCAGAAAAGUUACCACAGGGAUAACUGGCUUGUGGCAGCCAAGCAUUCAUAGUGACGUUGCUUUUUGAUCCUUCGAUGUCGGCUCUUCCUAUCAUUAUGAAGUAGAAUUCACUAAGUGUUGGAUUGUUCACCCACUAAUAGGGAACGUGAGCUAGGUUUAGAUCAUCAUGAGACAGGUUAGUUUUACCUUACUGAUGACAGUGUUGCAAUAGUAAUUCAACCUAGUACGAGAGGAACCACUGAUUCGCACAAUUGGUCAUUGCGCUUGGUUGAAAAGCCAGUGGCGCGAAGCUACCAUGCAUUGGAUUAUGACUGAACGCCUCUAAGUAAGAAUCCAGGCUAGAAGCGAUACACGUGCCCAUUGCCCAUUUGCCGACCCUUAGUAAGGGCUUUAUAGCCCCCAAAGGCAUGUGUCGAAGGUCAAGACCUCGCGGUAGAUGAGUCGUGUAGGCUUCCUUGAAGUAAAAUUUCUACCAAAUAGUGGGUAGAAUCCUUUGCAAAUGAAUUAAAUAUGUGACGGGGUAUUGUAAAUUGCAGAGUGGCCUUGCUGCCUCGAUCCACUAAGAUUCAGUCCUAUGUCACUUCGAUUUGU
Malania oleifera is the source of this 3297-nucleotide ribosomal RNA. The record is from RefSeq and is a predicted model, not a curated record. NCBI's taxonomy places the organism in Eukaryota, Viridiplantae, Streptophyta, Magnoliopsida, Santalales, Ximeniaceae.